UUAUACAGACUAGCGAGGAAA
This 21-nucleotide non-coding RNA is filed under the name Caenorhabditis elegans. The record is from RNAcentral. Lineage: Eukaryota; Metazoa; Nematoda; Chromadorea; Rhabditida; Rhabditidae.